Molecule: ribosomal RNA, 843 nt
Filed under: Triticum aestivum (bread wheat)
Lineage: Eukaryota; Viridiplantae; Streptophyta; Magnoliopsida; Poales; Poaceae
Description: partial small subunit ribosomal RNA
Source: RNAcentral
UUGUCUUUGUGCGAGCUUCUGCAGGUCCCUUUCAGCCUUGAAGAUCUAGAUUACAAGGGGCUUGAGCUGGAUGUGAUGUCUCCAUGUGAGAAGCACGGCAUGGCAUCUGAGAGGCUUGUUGCCUUUGAAGGAACAGACACAGGCAGACGGUUUUUAGCAUGUGCACAGCCGGCAGGUAGCAAUUGUGGCUUUGUUGAAUGGGUUGAUCACCAGUGGCCCCCAACAAUGCAGAAUGCAUUGUUGAAGCUAUGGGCAAUGGUUUAAGAUGCCAAAACUGCUAGGGUGAAUGACAAUCUUGAAAGUUCUUUCACUAUCCACCAUCUGACAGAAGAGAAGACCAAGCUGGAUGCCAACUAUGACAAGCUAGUUCAAGAUGUGCAUGAGCUGAUGAACUUCCAGGAAGAUAAGGUGGUGGAUUUCAGACAUCUGCAGUCUGCCAUUACAUAUCAGCAGGAGGUAAGAAAAGAUCUGAUUGAUGAUAUGAAGGCACAGAUGGCAAGUGAGAUGGCAAAGAAAGAUGAAGAGACCCAGAAACUUACUCUCAAGUAUGAGCUGCUGCUCAACCUGACAAGAGCUCAAGCAACAGUCAUUCAGAACUUGAAGCUGAACAAAAUGAAAGAGAAGCAAGUGCUUACUGAAGCUAGUAUGAAUUUGGAGCUGAAGAAUGCAGAGCUAACAAAGUGUCAGGAGAAGCUCACCCAAGAGAAGCUAGAGUUGAAGCUUCAGGUUGCUGAUCUGCUUAAGGGAAAUGAAAAGCAUAUUGAAGAGAAGUGGCAGUUAGAGUUUCAGAAUGAAAAGUUGAAGGAGAAGUUCAGGGGGAUUCAGGCCAUCUUGGAGAAGUGA